This 255-nucleotide ribosomal RNA is filed under the name uncultured bacterium. RNAcentral describes it as "partial 16S ribosomal RNA". It matches the Rfam family "Bacterial small subunit ribosomal RNA", at positions 524 to 777 of the family's 1533-position model. The record is from RNAcentral.
UACGGGGGGGGCAAGCGUUGUUCGGAAUUACUGGGCGUAAAGGGCUCGUAGGCGGCCAACUAAGUCGGAUGUGAAAUCCCCAGGCUCAACUUGGGAACUGCAUCCGAUACUGGAUGGCUUGAAUUCGGGAGAGGGAUGUGGAAUUCCAGGUGUAGCGGUGAAAUGCGUAGAUAUCUGGAGGAACACCGGUGGCGAAGGCGGCAUCCUGGACCGAUAUUGACGCUGAUGACGCGAAAGCCAGGGGAGCAAAACGGG